Molecule: ribosomal RNA, 734 nt
Filed under: uncultured bacterium
Lineage: Bacteria
Description: bacterial SSU rRNA
Rfam family: Bacterial small subunit ribosomal RNA
Source: RNAcentral
AGCGAGCGGCGGAUGGGUGAGUAACACGUGGGGAACCUGCCCCUAAGUCUGGGAUACCAUUUGGAAACAGGUGCUAAUACCGGAUAAUAAAGCAGAUCGCAUGAUCAGCUUUUGAAAGGCGGCGUAAGCUGUCGCUAAGGGAUGGCCCCGCGGUGCAUUAGCUAGUUGGUAAGGUAACGGCUUACCAAGGCGACGAUGCAUAGCCGAGUUGAGAGACUGAUCGGCCACGUUGGGACUGAGACACGGCCCAAACUCCUACGGGAGGCAGCAGUAGGGAAUCUUCCACAAUGGACGCAAGUCUGAUGGAGCAACGCCGCGUGAGUGAAGAAGGUUUUCGGAUCGUAAAGCUCUGUUGUUGGUGAAGAAGGAUAGAGGUAGUAACUGGCCUUUAUUUGACGGUAAUCAACCAGAAAGUCACGGCUAACUACGUGCCAGCAGCCGCGGUAAUACGUAGGUGGCAAGCGUUGUCCGGAUUUAUUGGGCGUAAAGCGAGCGCAGGCGGAAAAAUAAGUCUAAUGUGAAAGCCCUCGGCUUAACCGAGGAACUGCAUCGGAAACUGUUUUUCUUGAGUGCAGAAGAGGAGAGUGGAACUCCAUGUGUAGCGGUGGAAUGCGUAGAUAUAUGGAAGAACACCAGUGGCGAAGGCGGCUCUCUGGUCUGCAACUGACGCUGAGGCUCGAAAAGCAUGGGUAAGCGAACAGGAUUAGAUACCCCUGGUAGUCCAUGCCGUAAAC